This 192-nucleotide ribosomal RNA is filed under the name Photina sp. MN295. RNAcentral's name for it is "partial 28S ribosomal RNA". It matches the Rfam family "Eukaryotic large subunit ribosomal RNA", at positions 1675 to 1865 of the family's 3401-position model. The record is from RNAcentral. Lineage: Eukaryota; Metazoa; Arthropoda; Insecta; Mantodea; Mantidae.
GACCCGGGCAGAGUUUUCUGUUCUGCAUAAGCGUUCGAGUUCCCUGGAAUCCUCUAACAGGGAGAUAGGGUUUGGAACGCGAAGAGCACCGCAGUUGCGGCGGUGUCCGUGUCGUCCCCUCGGACCUUGAAAAUCCGGGAGAGGGUCACGCGGAGGUGUCGCGCCGGCUCGUACCCAUAUUCGCAGCACGUC